This 68-nucleotide transfer RNA is filed under the name Coboldia fuscipes. RNAcentral's name for it is "tRNA-Glu". The record is from RNAcentral. Lineage: Eukaryota; Metazoa; Arthropoda; Insecta; Diptera; Scatopsidae.
AUUUAUAUAGUUUAAUUUAAAACCUUACAUUUUCACUGUAAAAAUAAAAUUUUAUAUUUUUAUAAAUU